GCCCGGAUGGUGGAACUGGUAGACACGAGGGACUUAAAAUCCCUUGGCCCCACGGCUGUGCGGGUUCGACUCCCGCUCCGGGUA
RNAcentral lists this transfer RNA (84 nucleotides) under Lentimicrobiaceae bacterium. RNAcentral's name for it is "tRNA-Leu". It matches the Rfam family "tRNA". Rfam says of the family: Transfer RNA (tRNA) molecules are approximately 80 nucleotides in length. Their secondary structure includes four short double-helical elements and three loops (D, anti-codon, and T loops). Further hydrogen bonds mediate the characteristic L-shaped molecular structure. tRNAs have two regions of fundamental functional importance: the anti-codon, which is responsible for specific mRNA codon recognition, and the 3' end, to which the tRNAs corresponding amino acid is attached (by aminoacyl-tRNA synthetases). tRNAs cope with the degeneracy of the genetic code in two manners: having more than one tRNA (with a specific anti-codon) for a particular amino acid; and 'wobble' base-pairing, i.e. permitting non-standard base-pairing at the 3rd anti-codon position. The record is from RNAcentral. RNAcentral also lists the same sequence under 1 other name. Lineage: Bacteria; Pseudomonadati; Bacteroidota; Bacteroidia; Bacteroidales; Lentimicrobiaceae.